RNAcentral lists this RNase P RNA (363 nucleotides) under Olsenella uli. RNAcentral describes it as "Bacterial RNase P class A". It matches the Rfam family "Bacterial RNase P class A". From Rfam's summary of the family: Ribonuclease P (RNase P) is a ubiquitous endoribonuclease, found in archaea, bacteria and eukarya as well as chloroplasts and mitochondria. Lineage: Bacteria; Bacillati; Actinomycetota; Coriobacteriia; Coriobacteriales; Atopobiaceae. The record is from RNAcentral.
GGGCCAGACGACCGCGGGACGCGCGCCUUGGGUGCGCGUCAUGAGGAAAGUCCGGGCUCCACAGGGCAUGAUGCCGGCUAACGGCCGGGCGGGGAAACCCGACGGAAAGCGCCGCAGAAAAGAAGACUCCAACUGGCGCCGGGGCCUUUCGGCCCGCGCAAAGGGAAAAGCUGAAACGGUGGUGUAAGAGACCACCAGCGUCGUGGCAACACGGCGGCUUGGCAAGCCCCAUCCGGAGAAAACGCAAAUAGGAGCGCCAUGGUGUGGCCCGCACCGCGCUCGGGUUGCGCGAUAGAGGCGGGUGGCGACGCCCGCAGUAGAUAAAUGGUCGUCCACGACAGAACCCGGCUUAUCGGCCCACCU